This 1860-nucleotide unclassified non-coding RNA is filed under the name Hevea brasiliensis (rubber tree). Lineage: Eukaryota; Viridiplantae; Streptophyta; Magnoliopsida; Malpighiales; Euphorbiaceae. The record is from RNAcentral.
GAAAAAACAUCUGAUGUUUCAGUUUCAUACAUCUACUUAUCAGGGAACUUCAUUGUUCAAAUGAUUCGAUCUAACAUCACAUACAUAGUUAACAAAGUACUUCCUUUCGUUUCAUACCGAGUUCCACAAGCAUAGUUAAGAGAGCCUCACACAUUUCACUAGCGUCCGGUUCAUUUGGGUCCUUCCUCCACGACGAAUAAACCAUCCAAGCAUGAUCAAGCUUUAUGUCUGGUUUUACAACAACUGAGCCAGGAACUUCAGCAUCACGACAGGUCACUAGACCAUCACUCUUCUCUCCAUACCUUAGUUGCAGGUGCAGAGCACAAAGAGCCAGUGCAGCAGAAACAGGAACUAUGACAGGCACCUUACAACCUGCUUGGAUCACAUUUUCCGACUCAUCGUCACCAAAUCCGGGCAAAGGUAGCCACGGAAGUUCUGCAUGUGCUAUAUGGGACAUUGUUGCUAUUACAUUCAGUGCUAUACUUGCUUCAGAAUGGAAGGAGAUGAGUGGAAUAUCAUCGGGAAGCUUGUGGUUUUUUAAGAACUCCUUUCGCUUUUCGUAUGUUAGAUCCUCUAAUGCCCGUAUAUCACCCUUAAUUAACUUGCACAGUAGAAACUCCAUGAUCCUUCGUGUUUCCUUGUCAGCAAUCUGUCCGUCACGAAGAAUAUCUGAUGCAACAGGUAUUCCACCAUAAGGGCUCUGCACAAAUGCCAGUCCUGCAACUUUAUCCUUUAAAUCAUGCCAAUAUUUUGACAAAGCAGCGGCAGCAUCAACCCCACCCUUACUGUGACCAAGCAGCAUGACAUGUUUUCCUGAUCCCCAGUGUAACUCCUCGAUGCAUUGCUUCAGUUCCCACGCAUUUUGUUCCACGGAUGCCUCACUGUGUAUCUUGGCAAUAUGGCAAGUUAACCCCAUCUUUGAAAAAAACUUUUUAGUGCUCACAAAAUACAAAGGACCGUGAUUGCUGAAAAACCCUGGAAUCAGUAGAUAAACAAAAGAAUCGGGCAGUGUGUGCUGUCCAUUCCUAAUACCUUGUAGUAGUUCUCUAAAUCUAGCUGAACCAUCAACAACAGGAGCCAUUUCAGGAGCUUGUUGCAACCACCCAAUGUCAUCAGAAGACCCACGCAAAGUUGUACAUACACGGGAUAUAACACUCUGAACUUGAACUAGAGCACAUCUGAUAUGAGAUACGAAACACCUCCAAGAUGCCAACGUAAGUUUCCAAGUGAAUCUCAGACCAUAUACUGGAAGCAUCAACCCUUCAAAAAUGAGUCUGAAACCUCCAUAACUUUGAUUACUUCUUACAAUUUCUAAGAAUGAAUUUACAGGCAAGUUAUCAUUGACAUAGGAGGAUCUUCUCCCGUGAAAUCUAAAGCUUGUUCCUGUGUCAGAUACUCUUGAAGGAAAUGAACAAGCCUCGGGAACAGUUGUAAAGUUUACAAGCAGACCACCAAAAUCAACUAAAUAUUCUGACCACCCAAGUAGAUCUCUGCAGAUAAGAUCCUCAAUAAAUUGAACAAAUUGCUGGGCUAUAUAAGAGCUCAAGCUUGCAAGAUGUAGAAAGGGGUCGUCCAUGUUGCAUCAGAAGAUAAGUUAAUCAAGAUCUUUCUGUUUAUGAAAUACAAUGAUCAAGUAGAGACGAAACAUACGAGUGAGAAUUGAGAAUGAAAGGCCAAGAGUUGAUGAGAAACCCAAAAGCAUCCUAUUAUAAAUAUAGCCAAAAUCUACAUCUAUCCCAGUUCCCAAUAAAGCACAAAUUUACCAAUAUAAAAAAUGAAUAGUACUAUCACGAUCUGCUUGUGAUUUAGAUUGGAAAGAGAAAAUGGAGUUAUAAAUAGUAGUGAUGUAGCCAAGCUAUC